UACGAAGGGGGCUAGCGUUGCUCGGAAUUACUGGGCGUAAAGGGCGCGUAGGCGGGUCGUUUAGUUAGAGGUGAAAGCCCAGGGCUCAACCCUGGAAUUGCCUUUAAUACUGGCGGCCUUGAGUAUGGCAGAGGUGUGUGGAGCUCCGAGUGUAGAGGUGAAAUUCGUAGAUAUUCGCAAGAACACCAGUGGCGAAGGCGGCUCACUGGCCCGAUACUGACGCUGAGGUGCGAAAGCGUGGGGAGCAAACAGG
RNAcentral lists this ribosomal RNA (253 nucleotides) under uncultured bacterium. RNAcentral's name for it is "partial 16S ribosomal RNA". It matches the Rfam family "Bacterial small subunit ribosomal RNA", at positions 524 to 776 of the family's 1533-position model. The record is from RNAcentral.